AGUGAACGCUGGCGGUAGGCCUAACACAUGCAAGUCGAACGGCAGCACAGUAAGAGCUUGCUCUUACGGGUGGCGAGUGGCGGACGGGUGAGGAAUACAUCGGAAUCUACUUUUUCGUGGGGGAUAACGUAGGGAAACUUACGCUAAUACCGCAUACGACCUACGGGUGAAAGCAGGGGAUCUUCGGACCUUGCGCGAUUGAAUGAGCCGAUGUCGGAUUAGCUAGUUGGCGGGGUAAAGGCCCACCAAGGCGACGAUCCGUAGCUGGUCUGAGAGGAUGAACAGCCACACUGGAACUGAGACACGGUCCAGACUCCUACGGGAGGCAGCAGGGGGGAAUUUUGGACAAUGGGGGCAAGCCUUAUCCAGCCAUACCGGGUGGGUGAAGAAGGCCUUCGGGUUGUAAAGCCCUUUUGUUGGGAAAAAAAAGCAGCAGGUUAAUACCCCGCUGUUCUGACGGUACCCAAAGAAUAAGCACCGGCUAACUUCGG
RNAcentral lists this ribosomal RNA (491 nucleotides) under uncultured bacterium. RNAcentral's name for it is "partial 16S ribosomal RNA". It matches the Rfam family "Bacterial small subunit ribosomal RNA", at positions 29 to 506 of the family's 1533-position model. The record is from RNAcentral.